CCUACGGGUGGCAGCAGUGAGGAAUAUUGGUCAAUGGGAGGAAUCCUGAACCAGCCAUGCCGCGUGCAGGACGACGGCUCUACGAGUUGUAAACUGCUUUUGUACCGGGGUAAAAUGCUCUACGAGUAGGGUUUUGAAAGUACGGUACGAAUAAGGAUCGGCUAACUCCGUGCCAGCAGCCGCGGUAAUACGGAGGAUCCGAGCGUUAUCCGGAUUCAUUGGGUUUAAAGGGUGCGUAGGUUGUUUUAUAAGUUAGCGGUGAAAUACCGAUGCUCAACAUUGGGGCUGCCGCUGAUACUGUAGGACUAGAGAUCGGAUGCAGCAGGCGGAAUGUGUAGUGUAGCGGUGAAAUGCAUAGAUAUUACACAGAACACCGAUUGCGAAGGCGGCCUGCUGGACUGCAACUGACGUUGAGGCCCGAAAGCGUGGGGAGCAAACAGGAUUAGAUACCCGAGUAGUC
RNAcentral lists this ribosomal RNA (460 nucleotides) under uncultured bacterium. RNAcentral describes it as "partial 16S ribosomal RNA". It matches the Rfam family "Bacterial small subunit ribosomal RNA", at positions 338 to 795 of the family's 1533-position model. The record is from RNAcentral.